UGGCUGCCCUUAACAUUUUUUCCUUCAUUUCAACUUUGGUGAAUCUGACAAUUAGAGUUUCCAGUUUUUCUGUUCUGUUUUUUCCCCAUCUUUGUGGUUUUAUCUACUUUUGGUCUUUGAUGAUGGUGAUGUACAGAUGGGUUUUCGGUGUGUAUGUCCUUUCUGUUAGUUAGUUUUCCUUCUAACAGACAGGACCUUCAGCUGCAGGUCUGUUGGAAUACCCUGCCUUGUGAGGUGUCAGUGUGCCCCUGCUGGGGGGUAGUAGUGAUCAAAACAGACAAAAACCCUUGCCCUGCUUGAACUUGGUAAUACCAGAUUGUGGGCCUUUGCCCACACCCUUUGCUCUGCCUGAGGCUUUCUCUCCAUCUCCCCAUUAUUCUGCCUUUGCCUGAUCAACUCUUACUCUUCAAGACAUACAGAACAUGCUUUUUAGUGAGGUAGGAAGCCAGGUAGCAGGUAUGGUACAAAAAAGUAAGGCCAAUCAGAGACAUCUUGAUGCAAACCUGUCAACUCAUUCCCUUCCCAGGAGAAGCAGUGCCAGCCUGCUUGAGCCCCACUAAUCAAUCAAUCUAUCUAUCUAUCUAUCUAUCUAUCUAUCUAUCUAUCUAUCUCUCUGUCAUCCAUCUAUCUAUCUAUCUAUCUAUCUAUCUAUCUAUCUAUCUCCUACCUACCUACCUACCUACAAAUCAAUCUGUUUCUCUGGAGAACCCUGACAUAUAGUGAGGAAGGCUGAGUACUUACGGAGGGGUUGAGGGGAGCUAGAAAAGAUAAAAAAAGAGACAGACAAACUUCUUGAGAGCAGGGCAGGAUUCAAGCCCCAGAAAGGAGUGAAAAAUAAAAGAGAAGAAUAUUUCAUGUUUUCUGAGGUCUUAGGAUGUAGCUCUGUAACUUCAAUAUUAUUUCUACCUCAAAUUGCAACUUCACAACUAGAACUAGACUCAACUAACGCUUGACACAUUGAAAAAUUGUGCUCUAAUCAAAAUGAAAACAUUAGGUCAAACCAUAUGAAAUUACUAACAUUUGACAUUCAUUUUUUGCUAAAAAACCCAGUAAUUUUAUAUAGUUCAAUGGAAUAUAAAUUAGAUUAUUUAUAAAUGUGGAUUCCACUUAUAAAUACAAGCUGUUUUCUUGAAUAUCUCAGGACCAAGUCCAUGUAUGACAACUUGAGAGAGGUGGAGUCUAUGUGAUCAGGUAUUAACCUUGUCCUGGUCAGGGGGAACAUUGUGGGUAGGCCACCAGGUCAGCACAUUUAAAGAUAUCCAUUUAAAGGCAAUAGUUAACAAUUGCUAACAGUUAUUAAAUGCAAACACUGUUAAGACAGUCUAGUCACCACACUUAUAAUAUUAUUUGUUUCUCACAAAAUACUAUGAGAUAGGUACUACGAUCAUUGCCAUUUUACCAUUGAGGAAACUGAGGACUAAAAAAUGCAAAUGACUUGCCCAAAGUGGUAGAUCCAGGAAUGGAGUCCAGGCAUAUCUGGCUCACAGGCCCACACCCUAACAACUCAUGCUGUACUGCCCCAGAUACAGCAUAUAGUUACCAAGAGUUGGAUCUAAUGGGAACUAGAAAUCCAAAGUCCAUGGAUAUGACUCAUCCAGAAAACAAAAGCUACUAUACAUAGAGCAGAGGAUCAGGUACCGAGAAUAUCAGACCAAUUUUUCUAGAUAGUUUUUUUCUAACUCCUACUAUUAUGUUCAUUUCUUCUUUCAUCCAAAAUAAAAUUUAUUAAUACUAUAUGUGCAGGCAUUGAUCUAGGUAAGUGGGAAUCAUCUUUGAUUCCUGUCUUCCCAUCUUCCCAUCUUUGAUCAAGGCAGACAAAAAUCUCUGCACUUGAGGAGCUUAAAUCCUAGAUAGGGAAACAGAAAAUAAGCAUAAUAAAAAGAAAUUAUACAGCAUGUUAUAGAGUGGUAAAUACAUUGUACAAAAUAAAAUAUAGAUUAGUACAGUGCUUCAGGGGGUACUGUGCUAAGGUAGGUGGGAGGCAAGAUUCAGCAUGAAAUAGCAUGGGCAGG
Molecule: long non-coding RNA, 2012 nt
Filed under: Homo sapiens (human)
Lineage: Eukaryota; Metazoa; Chordata; Mammalia; Primates; Hominidae
Description: non-protein coding lnc-GTF2B-9:1
Source: RNAcentral